Molecule: ribosomal RNA, 450 nt
Filed under: uncultured bacterium
Lineage: Bacteria
Description: partial 16S ribosomal RNA
Rfam family: Bacterial small subunit ribosomal RNA
Source: RNAcentral
GUGGGGAAUUUUGGACAAUGGGCGCAAGCCUGAUCCAGCAAUGCCGCGUGCAGGAAGAAGGCCUUCGGGUUGUAAACUGCUUUUGUACGGAACGAAACGGUCCGGGUUAAUACCCUGGGCUAAUGACGGUACCGUAAGAAUAAGCACCGGCUAACUACGUGCCAGCAGCCGCGGUAAUACGUAGGGUGCAAGCGUUAAUCGGAAUUACUGGGCGUAAAGCGUGCGCAGGCGGUUUUGUAAGACAGGCGUGAACUCCCCGGGCUCAACCUGGGAAUUGCGCUUGUGACUGCAAGGCUGGAGUGCGGCAGAGGGGGAUGGAAUUCCGCGUGUAGCAGUGAAAUGCGUAGAUAUGCGGAGGAACACCGAUGGCGAAGGCAAUCCCCUGGGCCUGCACUGACGCUCAUGCACGAAAGCGUGGGGAGCAAACAGGAUUAGAAACCCGUGUAGUCC